This 303-nucleotide ribosomal RNA is filed under the name uncultured bacterium. RNAcentral describes it as "partial 16S ribosomal RNA". It matches the Rfam family "Bacterial small subunit ribosomal RNA", at positions 507 to 807 of the family's 1533-position model. The record is from RNAcentral.
AGCAGUCGCCGCGGGAAUACGAAGGGGGCUAGCGUUACUCGGAUUUACUGGGCAUAAAGGGCGCGUAGGCGGCCUGGUCAGUGAGGCGUGAAAUUCCCGGGCUUAACCUGGGGACUGCGCUUCAUACUGCUGGACUUGAGGAUGGGAGAGGGUCGUGGAAUUCCCAGUGUAGAGGUGAAAUUCGUAGAUAUUCGGAAGAACACCAGUGGCGAAGGCGGCUCACUGGACUGGUAUUGACGCUGAGGUGCGAAAGCGUGGGGAGCAAACAGGAUUAGAUACCCCCGUAGUCCCUGUCUCUUAUAC